This 437-nucleotide ribosomal RNA is filed under the name Dolichodorus rex. Its description in RNAcentral is "partial large subunit ribosomal RNA". It matches the Rfam family "Eukaryotic large subunit ribosomal RNA", at positions 599 to 864 of the family's 3401-position model. Lineage: Eukaryota; Metazoa; Nematoda; Chromadorea; Rhabditida; Dolichodoridae. The record is from RNAcentral.
GCGUUGGAACCCGGGACGUGGGAUGUGUCAUUUGUGCUGGGUGCGCACAGCGGGGCAAGGCUUUUGUGCGCGUUCGGGUCGGCGUCAAGUCGUUGGCUGGUGGCGGUCGCUUGCGACACGUACCGCUCAGCGGUUUGGCACGGCUCGAGUGCACGGCCCCGUGUUCUCGGUGUAAAAGCCGGUCAUCUAUCCGACCCGUCUUGAAACACGGACCAAGGAGUUUAGCGUGUGCGCGAGUCAUUGGGCGUUGAAAACCCAAAGGCGCAAUGAAAGUGAAGGCACCCGCAAGGGGCUGACGUGUGAUCGCGGUGCACUUGUGCACUGCGAGCAACAUGGUCCCGUUCCGACCGCUUGCGGUGGGGCGGCGACAGAGCGAACGCGCUGAGACCCGAAAGAUGGUGAACUAUUCCUGAGCAGGAUGAAGCCAGGGGAAACUC